This 516-nucleotide ribosomal RNA is filed under the name Macaca silenus (liontail macaque). RNAcentral's name for it is "partial 12S ribosomal RNA". It matches the Rfam family "Bacterial small subunit ribosomal RNA", at positions 789 to 1533 of the family's 1533-position model. Lineage: Eukaryota; Metazoa; Chordata; Mammalia; Primates; Cercopithecidae. The record is from RNAcentral.
ACUAUGCUUGGCCCUAAACCUCAGUAGUUAAACAACAAAACUACUCGCCAGAAUACUACGAGCAACGGCUUAAAACUCAAAGGACUUGACGGUGCUUUACACCCCCCUAGAGGAGCCUGUUCCAUAAUCGAUAAACCCCGAUCCACCCCACCCUCUCUUGCUCAGCCUAUAUACCGCCAUCUUCAGCAAACCCUGAUAAAGAUUACAAAGUGAGCGCAAACGCCUCCCCGCAAAAACGUUAGGUCAAGGUGUAGCCCAUGAGACGGUAAAAAAUGGGCUACAUUUUCUGUAUCAGAAAACCCACGAAAACUCUUAUGAAAUUUGAGAGUCCAAGGAGGAUUUAGCAGUAAAUUAAGAAUAGAGUGCUUAAUUGAACGAGGCCAUAAAGCGCGCACACACCGCCCGUCACUCCCCUCAAAUAUAUUCAAGGAACAUCUUAACUAAACACCCCGAUGUCUAUAUAGAGGGGAUAAGUCGUAACAUGGUAAGUGUACUGGAAGGUGCACUUGGACAAAU